GAUGAACGCUGGCGGCGUGCCUAAUACAUGCAAGUCGAGCGAACAGACGAGUAGCUUGCUCCUUUGACGUUAGCGGCGGACGGGUGAGUAAUACGUGGGUAACCUACCUAUAAGACUAGGAUAACUUCGGGAAACCGGAGCUAAUACCGGAUAAUAUUUCGAACAGCAUGGUUCGAUAGUGAAAGAUGGCUUUGCUAUCACUUAUAGAUGGACCUGCGCCGUAUUAGCUAGUUGGUAAGGUAACGGCGUACCAAGGCAACGAUACGUAGCCGACCUGAGAGGGUGAUCGGCCACACUGUAACUGAGACACGGUCCAGACUCCUACGGGAGGCAGCCGUAGGGAAUCUUCCGCACUGGGCGAAAGCCUGACGGAGCAACGCCGCGUGAGUGAUGAAGGUCUUCGGAUCGUAAAACUCUGUUAUUAGGGAAGAACAAACGUGUAAGUAACUGUGCACGUCUUGACGGUACCUAAUCAGAAAGCCACGGCUAACUACGUG
Molecule: ribosomal RNA, 497 nt
Filed under: uncultured bacterium
Lineage: Bacteria
Description: partial 16S ribosomal RNA
Rfam family: Bacterial small subunit ribosomal RNA
Source: RNAcentral